This 117-nucleotide ribosomal RNA is filed under the name Salmo salar (Atlantic salmon). Lineage: Eukaryota; Metazoa; Chordata; Actinopteri; Salmoniformes; Salmonidae. The record is from RNAcentral.
GCUUACGGCCAUACCAGCCUGGGUACGCCCGAUCUCGUCUGAUCUCGGAAGCAAGCGGGUCGGGCCUGGUUAGUACUUGGAUGGGAGACCGCCUGGGAAUACCAGGUGCUGUAAGCA